UAGGCUAGUGUGAUAUAGGAGGAGAGUUGUUGGAAUUUUUGAGUAGCAAGAUUUAAGAUAAGUUUAGAUUUUUCUAUCCCAUCUAUUAUAUUUUCAUCCUUUGUAUUGAAAUUUUGAAAAAGCUAGAUCUCAUUGCUAGUUUUUCAAUAAGCUUUAGCAUGCAAAAAAUGAAGCUGUGGCAAGAGAGAUCUAUGCAAAUUUGUGGAAUAAGGGUCGCUGAAAUUUUUAGGUGACGAGAUUUAAGAUUGAUUUGGAGUUUUCUAUACCAUUUAUUGUAUUUUCAACUUUUUGUUUUGAAAUUUUUAAAGAAGCUAGAUUUUUUUGUUAGUUUUUUAACAAGUCUUAGCAUACAAGAUAGAAAGCUAUAACAAGAGAGAUCUAUGUGAAUUUGUAGGAAGGAGGUUGUUAGAACUUUGAAGCAACAAGAUCUAAGUGUGGUUUGGAUUUUUUCAUUCCAUCUAUUUU
RNAcentral lists this long non-coding RNA (465 nucleotides) under Physcomitrium patens. Its description in RNAcentral is "long non-coding RNA (PPAT_LNC012797)". Lineage: Eukaryota; Viridiplantae; Streptophyta; Bryopsida; Funariales; Funariaceae. The record is from RNAcentral.